Molecule: ribosomal RNA, 156 nt
Filed under: Trebouxia jamesii
Lineage: Eukaryota; Viridiplantae; Chlorophyta; Trebouxiophyceae; Trebouxiales; Trebouxiaceae
Description: 5.8S ribosomal RNA
Rfam family: 5.8S ribosomal RNA
About the family: 5.8S ribosomal RNA (5.8S rRNA) is a component of the large subunit of the eukaryotic ribosome.
Source: RNAcentral
ACAACUCUCAACAACGGAUAUCUUGGCUCCCGUAACGAUGAAGAACGCAGCGAAAUGCGAUACGUAGUGUGAAUUGCAGAAUUCCGUGAACCAUCGAAUCUUUGAACGCAAAUUGCGCUCGAGGCUUCGGCCAAGAGCAUGUCUGCCUCAGCGUCG